GAUGAACGCUGACAGAAUGCUUAACACAUGCAAGUCGAUUCGAUUUACCUUCGGGUAUUGAGGAUGGCGGACGGGUGAGUAACGCGUAAGGAACUUGCCUCUUGGACUGGGACAACUGUUGGAAACGACAGCUAAUACCGGAUAUUAUGAGAUUCUCGCAUGGGAAACUUAUGAAAGCUAUAUGCGCCAAGAGAGAGCCUUGCGUUCCAUUAGCUAGUUGGUGGGGUAAUGGCCCACCAAGGCGACGAUGGAUAGCCGGCCUGAGAGGGUGAACGGCCACAAGGGGACUGAGACACGGCCCUUACUCCUACGGGAGGCAGCAGUGGGGAAUAUUGGACAAUGGGCCACAAGCCUGA
This 356-nucleotide ribosomal RNA is filed under the name uncultured bacterium. RNAcentral's name for it is "bacterial SSU rRNA". It matches the Rfam family "Bacterial small subunit ribosomal RNA", at positions 28 to 386 of the family's 1533-position model. The record is from RNAcentral.